This 469-nucleotide ribosomal RNA is filed under the name uncultured bacterium. RNAcentral describes it as "partial 16S ribosomal RNA". It matches the Rfam family "Bacterial small subunit ribosomal RNA", at positions 27 to 507 of the family's 1533-position model. The record is from RNAcentral.
GGACGAACGCUGGCGGCGUGCUUAACACAUGCAAGUCGAACGGAAAGGCCCUGCUUUUGUGGGGUGCUCGAGUGGCGAACGGGUGAGUAACACGUGAGUAACCUGCCCUUGACUUUGGGAUAACUUCAGGAAACUGGGGCUAAUACCGGAUAGGAGCUCCUGCUGCAUGGUGGGGAUUGGAAAGUUUCGGCGGUUGGGGAUGGACUCGCGGCUUAUCAGCUUGUUGGUGGGGUAGUGGCUUACCAAGGCUUUGACGGGUAGCCGGCCUGAGAGGGUGACCGGCCACAUUGGGACUGAGAUACGGCCCAGACUCCUACGGGAGGCAGCAGUGGGGAAUAUUGCACAAUGGGCGGAAGCCUGAUGCAGCAACGCCGCGUGCGGGAUGACGGCCUUCGGGCUGUAAACCGCUUUCGCCUGUGACGAAGCGUGAGUGACGGUAAUGGGUAAAGAAGCACCGGCUAACUACGUG